Kogia breviceps (pygmy sperm whale) is the source of this 73-nucleotide non-coding RNA. The record is from the annotation of a RefSeq genome assembly. Lineage: Eukaryota; Metazoa; Chordata; Mammalia; Artiodactyla; Physeteridae.
UCCCCAGUGGUCCAGUGGUUAGGACUCUGUACUUCUACUGCACAAGGCAUGGGUUCGAUCCCCGGUUGGGGAA